This 253-nucleotide ribosomal RNA is filed under the name uncultured bacterium. RNAcentral describes it as "partial 16S ribosomal RNA". It matches the Rfam family "Bacterial small subunit ribosomal RNA", at positions 524 to 776 of the family's 1533-position model. The record is from RNAcentral.
GACGAAGGGGGCUAGCGUUGUUCGGAAUUACUGGGCGUAAAGGGCGCGUAGGCGGCUCUAUAAGUCAGGCGUGAAAGCCCUGGGCUCAACCUGGGAGUGGCGCUUGAUACUGUGGGGCUAGAGAGUGGGAGAGGUUGGUGGAAUUCCCAGUGUAGAGGUGAAAUUCGUAGAUAUUGGGAAGAACACCGGUGGCGAAGGCGGCCAACUGGACCAUUUCUGACGCUGAGGCGCGAAAGCGUGGGGAGCAAACAGG